This 556-nucleotide long non-coding RNA is filed under the name Triticum aestivum (bread wheat). RNAcentral describes it as "long non-coding RNA (TAES_LNC013535)". The record is from RNAcentral. Lineage: Eukaryota; Viridiplantae; Streptophyta; Magnoliopsida; Poales; Poaceae.
CCACAUAUUAAAAUUCGCAGUUUGCGCCACUUGAAACAUCACCUGAGUUCAUCAUAUAUAAAACAUAACCGGAGUUCAUACUUAGAACAUACUCCCUCUGCUAGUGUCAAAAAUGAUUUUAUAUUCUGGGACGGAGGGAGUAGUUUAGACUUAAACAACAACGGAGUUCAUAGUUAAACAAUUUUCACACUAGCAUAAAACGGAAAUUAAACUAGAUCUACUCGUCACCGGACUUGCCAUCACCGGACUUGUCGACGCUAAGGUGGUGCUCCAUCAGGGAGUUGGAGAGAACGAAGGCGAGUUGGUACUCCUCCCUUGCCUCGAACCAUGGGGCAGCCGCCUCCUUCGCCUCGAACAAUGCGACCUCCACCGCCCGGAGACGCCUCAGCGCGGGGGAAGAGGCGGUCCUACCGAUUGAACUGGGUCCACGCCCGUGCUCCGGCGCACGGGUGCCACGCGUGCACGCCACUCAUCCACCAACGGGCGGAGGGAGGGGCUCCUGGCCUCAGCGUCGUUGCGGCGCUUGCGAGGCGGCUUGCCGCCGGGACCGCCGNNN